AGUGCUCCUCCACCACCAGCAUUAGCGCCAAUUUCUAGCAAAAUAUCACAAGAUCUCAUAGUGUGAGAGAUGCCAUGCCACUUCUUUGCCAGUGAUGGAGGCAACAGGUGUGGGAGCAGGCCAGUGUGGCAGUGGCGGGGGUGGGGGUGGUAUUUAAUGUUUCACCUCAAGCAGCAAAACAGGACGCAGUGGCCCUAACUAUAUUUGUCAUUCCCAGUGACAUCAUCAUAUAAAUGCACUUGACUGAAUAUGUAGCAUCAUGAUAUUCUUUCACUACGUGAUCAAUAAUUGCCUGGGAUUGUCCAUUUCACUAAUUCCUUGAAGAAGGAGGAAGAAGCGGUCGCUAGGAAGGGUGUAUGUUGAUAUCACACAGAGGCAAGAGCAAUUUGGGAGGAAAGGACAGCUAACAAGAUUGGGAAAAGAUAUAAUACUCUAAAACAUGACAUACGUCCAUGCUGUGAGUGACAGGAUUUAUUCCUGCAGUAGAUAAAAAAGAAUGAACUUUCAUCAUCCCAGUCUUGUAACAUGACUCCCCUGGGAUAGGAACAAUCUUUGUAGCAACAAACUGUACUUUCACAAGCUAAAGGGGGGAACUUGAAAGUGUCUGGUGCGCUGAUAAAAAAAGGAGCAGAUCUGGAAACCACAGAAGAACAUGUUGCAACAAAGAGCUUUGAUGCAAUGGAAUGUUGUUUUGAUAUCACUCUCUUACAUAAAACAAGACAUUACUAGAACUGAAAUGGAGAAUCUUUGGAAGGCUGUAAACAAUAUUUGUUUUUGCAAUCUAUCAAGAUAAUCUAAGGAUUUGCAUUUUGCUCCCCAUUAAAAAUUUCAUUGGUUUUACAUCU
This is a long non-coding RNA of Podarcis raffonei (Aeolian wall lizard), 845 nucleotides long. RefSeq lists it as uncharacterized. Lineage: Eukaryota; Metazoa; Chordata; Lepidosauria; Squamata; Lacertidae. The transcript has 3 exons. The record is from RefSeq and is a predicted model, not a curated record.